RNAcentral lists this small nuclear RNA (137 nucleotides) under Talaromyces islandicus. Its description in RNAcentral is "Penicillium islandicum U4 spliceosomal RNA". It matches the Rfam family "U4 spliceosomal RNA". From Rfam's summary of the family: U4 small nuclear RNA (U4 snRNA) is a component of the major U2-dependent spliceosome. The structure of U4 snRNA from yeast and human has been reported. U4 snRNA presents a k-turn RNA motif in the 5p-SL related to recognition of Snu13 protein. Lineage: Eukaryota; Fungi; Ascomycota; Eurotiomycetes; Eurotiales; Trichocomaceae. The record is from Rfam by way of RNAcentral.
AUCCUAGUGCACGGGCAGUUCGAUCACCAGUGAGGAUUUCAUCCGAGGUAUCGAUUUUGCUAGUUGAAAACUACCAUAGUUUGACCGCUUCAACCGGCUUCGUGUCGGUUGGGAAUUUUUGAUGCAAACACCUUUUU